GUGAAUCAUCAAAUUUUUGAACGCAAAUUGCACUCUCUUCGGAGAGUAUGCCUGUUUGAGGGUCAGUGUUAAUAAAAAUCGGUGUGUUGCUUCUUUGUGACGCUCGGGAGUUUGGGUCAUCUUAAUACCCUUUAGGUUUUAAGAGGCUUAAAAUUGACUUUUUUUGCGCAUUUUAGAUGUACUAAAAUUCUUUUUUUAUUGGUUGGUCUAAAGGUUCAAAUUCUUAUAA
RNAcentral lists this unclassified non-coding RNA (229 nucleotides) under Rhizophagus sp. (in: glomeromycetes). RNAcentral's name for it is "partial contains 5.8S ribosomal RNA and internal transcribed spacer 2". The stretch from base 1 to 65 matches the Rfam family "5.8S ribosomal RNA", at positions 84 to 154 of the family's 154-position model. The record is from RNAcentral. Lineage: Eukaryota; Fungi; Glomeromycota; Glomeromycetes; Glomerales; Glomeraceae.